AUUCUUAUUUGAAACCCAUGUAUCAAAAGCAUCUUUAAGAUGAGAGUAUGGUCUAUUACGUGUACCUUUACCCACAUAAAAAAUAGCAGAAAGGAAUGUAGUCCAAGCUAUGGGUUUUGUUAGAUUUUCUAUACGAGAAGUAUUAUCACAAUAUUUUCCAAGUAUUACAAUUGCUUUAUAAUAUUUACCAUCAAAUGCAUAAUGAAAUGGACUACGUCCUUCAUCAUCCAAACAAAGAGGAUCUCCACCAUUUGCUAAAAGUAACUCUAAAACUGUGGCUCUACCCCAUGCUGCUGCUACAUGAACUGGAGUUAAUCCAUCUAUUGAUCUAUAAGAUUAAUUAAAAUAGCACUUCAUUGUUAUAUAUUGAAAAAAUUAUAUUUUUAUAUAUUUUCAAAUAAACAUUUUUCUUCAAAAUAUAAAAUCAA
Molecule: long non-coding RNA, 428 nt
Organism: Apis cerana (Asiatic honeybee)
Lineage: Eukaryota; Metazoa; Arthropoda; Insecta; Hymenoptera; Apidae
Source: RefSeq, a predicted model, not a curated record